Molecule: long non-coding RNA, 88 nt
Organism: Etheostoma spectabile (orangethroat darter)
Lineage: Eukaryota; Metazoa; Chordata; Actinopteri; Perciformes; Percidae
Exons: 3
Source: RefSeq, a predicted model, not a curated record
UGUCGAACCCAGGCCCACUGCUUCAAGGAGUAAACCUCUAUAUAUGGGCGCCCACUCUACCAACUGAACUAUCCAGGGAUUCAACAAU